RNAcentral lists this ribosomal RNA (252 nucleotides) under uncultured bacterium. Its description in RNAcentral is "partial 16S ribosomal RNA". It matches the Rfam family "Bacterial small subunit ribosomal RNA", at positions 524 to 777 of the family's 1533-position model. The record is from RNAcentral.
UACGUAGGGACCGAGCGUUGUCCGGAAUCAUUGGGCGUAAAGAGCGUGUAGGCGGCUAUUUAAGUCCUGCGUGAAAUCCUGCGGCUCAACCGCAGACGGUCGUGGGAAACUGGAUGGCUAGAGUGCAGGAGAGGAGAGUGGAAUUCCGGUGUAGCGGUGAAAUGCGCAGAUAUCGGGAAGAACACCCGUGGCGAAGGCGGCUCUCUGGAACGCAACUGACGCUGAGACGCGAAAGCGUGGGAGCAAACAGGG